CCUUUCUUCAGCUGAUGUUCCUUCUUCUCUGAUGACUGCUUGUGUCAAGUUGACAAACAAAACCAGCCAGUGAAGUAGUAUUUGGUUUUGCCUUAAGUCCCUGGACCAUCUAACAUCAGGUUCUUGGUCAUCCAAGCAGUGUCAGAAACCCGCCGUGGAAGAGUGCUCCAGGGACCGUGGGCUGCCCGGCAGGCCAGGUUUUUUCUCCUUAGCCCUAGAACACUGCUUAGUCCAGACCGGAAGAGCCCAGACUUCCCAAGGCUACGUAGGGGUCCUGGUGACAUAAUUUUAAGUCACAGGAAAUGACCCCCCAAUUUAGAUUUCUACUUCCUUCUACAAGGACGGAGACAACUCAACCCCACCGAAUGAAACCAGCGUUGCAUAGCCUACCAAUGGCUUCCUCAUUGCCAAGCUGAAUGGACAUUUUCCAGUGCUCAUUUGUUUGACAUCAUUGGCGUUUCUCACUCAACAACUACUUCCACAACCUGGAGAAAUGUAUGAUAACGUGUGGCGCUGUUUCCCUCCUUGAUCCUCAUCCCACUUCAUCUCUUCUCAAAAAUCUCUUAUCUGAUCAUGAGAAACUGAGAUUUGAUAUUCUACCCCCCCACCCCAAAACCAUGUACUCUGUGGCCACCUGAGCCCUGCCCCCAUUUCAGAGACCACCUUCUGUGGAAUGUUCCCUGUCGGACAGGUAUCUAUCAUCGGAAACUUUCCUGGAGACAUUCACCUGGAUACUCUACAGGCACAUCCAAAAUAUGUUCAAAGCAUCCUGUCUUCUUCUCAAGUCAA
This is a long non-coding RNA of Mesocricetus auratus (golden hamster), 789 nucleotides long. RefSeq lists it as uncharacterized. The transcript has 4 exons. Lineage: Eukaryota; Metazoa; Chordata; Mammalia; Rodentia; Cricetidae. The record is from RefSeq and is a predicted model, not a curated record.